This 490-nucleotide ribosomal RNA is filed under the name uncultured bacterium. RNAcentral's name for it is "partial 16S ribosomal RNA". It matches the Rfam family "Bacterial small subunit ribosomal RNA", at positions 30 to 507 of the family's 1533-position model. The record is from RNAcentral.
AUUGAACGCUGGCGGCAGGCCUAACACAUGCAAGUCGAACGGUAACAGGAAGAAGCUUGCUUCUUUGCUGACGAGUGGCGGACGGGUGAGUAAUGUCUGGGAAACUGCCUGAUGGAGGGGGAUAACUACUGGAAACGGUAGCUAAUACCGCAUAACGUCGCAAGACCAAAGAGGGGGACCUUCGGGCCUCUUGCCAUCGGAUGUGCCCAGAUGGGAUUAGCUAGUAGGUGGGGUAACGGCUCACCUAGGCGACGAUCCCUAGCUGGUCUGAGAGGAUGACCAGCCACACUGGAACUGAGACACGGUCCAGACUCCUACGGGAGGCAGCAGUGGGGAAUAUUGCACAGUGGGCGCAAGCCUGAUGCAGCCAUGCCGCGUGUAUGAAGAAGGCCUUCGGGUUGUAAAGUACUUUCAGCGGGGAGGAAGGGAGUAAAGUUAAUACCUUUGCUCAUUGACGUUACCCGCAGAAGAAGCACCGGCUAACUCCGUG